RNAcentral lists this ribosomal RNA (384 nucleotides) under uncultured bacterium. RNAcentral describes it as "bacterial SSU rRNA". It matches the Rfam family "Bacterial small subunit ribosomal RNA", at positions 29 to 416 of the family's 1533-position model. The record is from RNAcentral.
AUUGAACGCUGGCGGCAUGCCUUACACAUGCAAGUCGAACGGUAACGCGGGGCAACCUGGCGACGAGUGGCGAACGGGUGAGUAAUAUAUCGGAACGUGCCCAAUAGUGGGGGAUAGCCCGGCGAAAGCCGGAUUAAUACCGCAUACGACCUGAGGGUGAAAGCGGGGGAUCGCAAGACCUCGCGCUAUUGGAGCGGCCGAUAUCAGAUUAGGUAGUUGGUGGGGUAAAGGCCUACCAAGCCUACGAUCUGUAGCUGGUCUGAGAGGACGACCAGCCACACUGGGACUGAGACACGGCCCAGACUCCUACGGGAGGCAGCAGUGGGGAAUUUUGGACAAUGGGGGCAACCCUGAUCCAGCCAUUCCGCGUGAGUGAAGAAGGCC